AGCCUGAUCCAGCCAUGCCGCGUGCAGGAAGACUGCCCUAUGGGUUGUAAACUGCUUUUAUACGGGAAGAAACCCAUCUACGUGUAGGUGGCUGACGGUACCGUAAGAAUAAGCAUCGGCUAACUCCGUGCCAGCAGCCGCGGUAAUACGGAGGAUGCAAGCGUUAUCCGGAAUCAUUGGGUUUAAAGGGUCCGUAGGUGGAUUGGUAAGUCAGAGGUGAAAGCCUGCAGCUCAACUGUAGAACUGCCUUUGAUACUGCUAGUCUUGAAUUAUUGUGAAGUGGUUAGAAUAUGUAGUGUAGCGGUGAAAUGCAUAGAUAUUACAUAGAAUACCAAUUGCGAAGGCAGAUCACUAACAAUAUAUUGACACUGAUGGACGAAAGCGUGGGGAGCGAACGGGAUUAGAUACCCCGGUAGUCCACGCCGUAAACGAUGGUCACUAGCUGUUCGGAUUUCGGUCUGAGUGGCUAAGCGAAAGUGAUAAGUGACCCACCUGGGGAGUACGUUCGCAAGAAUGAAACUCAAAUG
Molecule: ribosomal RNA, 527 nt
Filed under: Winogradskyella sp.
Lineage: Bacteria; Pseudomonadati; Bacteroidota; Flavobacteriia; Flavobacteriales; Flavobacteriaceae
Description: bacterial SSU rRNA
Rfam family: Bacterial small subunit ribosomal RNA
Source: RNAcentral